RNAcentral lists this long non-coding RNA (209 nucleotides) under Elaeis guineensis (African oil palm). RNAcentral's name for it is "long non-coding RNA (EGUI_LNC020161)". The record is from RNAcentral. Lineage: Eukaryota; Viridiplantae; Streptophyta; Magnoliopsida; Arecales; Arecaceae.
AUGUGAGUUGUUUGUAAAUAAGUGUGUUUAUGGUGUGAUUAGUCAUGUAUUAGCAUAUAUUAGCACUUAUGGUUUGUAUUUAAGUUUGCUCAAAUAGAUUAAAUAGUUUAAUCUCAUGUAUUCUGCUAUAAAAGUUUUGAAAAAUAUGCUUGAAAUGUCUAUCGAUUUUCUUUAGCAGGUUUAUGGCGAGGUCUGACAGAGAGCACUGA